Molecule: long non-coding RNA, 2882 nt
Filed under: Piliocolobus tephrosceles (Ugandan red Colobus)
Lineage: Eukaryota; Metazoa; Chordata; Mammalia; Primates; Cercopithecidae
Description: lncRNA (ENSPTEG00000002747.1)
Source: RNAcentral
AAAUAAUAAUUUGAAUAAAGAAAGAGAAAAAGAAAAAGAAUUAAAAAGUUCAGUAGAUAUUGUAGAAAACCAAAUUUUUGAUAUGGAAUCAUUAAUAAAUAAAAAUGAAAAUAUUGUGAAAGAUAUUAACAAACAAAUAAAAGAAAUUAUGCUACAUUCAGCUAAAGUAAAAAAAAGUCAAAAUGAUGUACUCCAAAGAAAGUUUUAUUUAUAUGGGUAUGAUAUACAUAAUAUAAAAAAUAUUAUUAUUGAAAAAUAUGGCAUUUUAAAUAAAUCUGAGUUCAUUAAAAACAGUAGUAAUGAUAUAAGUGAUGAUAUAAAUGUAGAAAAUAAUAUUUUAGGAAUAGAAAAAGAAUCAUUGAACAUUUUUAAAUAUGAACCUGUCGGACCAGUUGGUGAAUAUAUAAAACUAAAAGAAGCAAUUACAACAGAUGAUAAAGUUAUGUCUAUAAUAGAAAAACAUUUAGGUGAUUUAUUAUUUUCUUGGCUAGUCAGUUGUUAUGAAGAUAAAAAUAAAUUAAAUAGUAUAGAUAUACUAGCGAAUAACAAAAAAAAAUGGAGUAUUAUUGUGACUAAUGCAUUUCAACAUGUACAUAGAGAUAAACUAUUAAAAACAAUACAAUGUAUAUUAAGUAAAAUAGUAGGUAAUAGUAUAUACUCUUAUUUAAAUGUAGAUACAAUGCCUACUGCUUUGUUAUUUUAUUUAUAUGAUAAUUAUAAAAUUAUACAAACAUUAAUAUGUAAAAAUUCAAAUGAGUUACAAGAAUUAUUAAAAAAAAAUGAUCAUAAAAUUAUAAAAUUUAUUUAUGUUAUUGAUGAUUUUGUUUUGGUUAAAGUGUUAGGUAAUGGUAGUUUGCAUUACCAACCUUUUAAAGAAGAUAGAUAUCAAAAGCCUGUUUGUUUGGCCUUUUUAUUGGUGCAUAAUUUGUUGCCGAAUGGCUCCGGUGAAAAUGAUGUUAUUGCUGAUAUGUCAUCUGAAUCUAUGACAUUAACUGAAGAAUAUUAUAAAAAGCAAAAAGAAAAAGAACUUACUAAAUUGGAAAAUGAAAAAAAUGAAAAAAAUGAAAAAAUAUUAAGUUAUGCGUAUAAAAUAGAAGAGUAUAGAAAUAAUAUUAAUAAUUUACGAGAAUCAAUACAAAAAUGUAAGUUUGCACAAGAUGAAUUAAAAACGAAAUUAAAAAAUGUAAACGAGUUGAUCGAUAAACAUGUUAAUCUAUUUUCUGAACAAUUGGACAUUGAAAUAAAAGAAAAAAAUUUAAUAUUAGAUGAAUUUAAUAAUAAUGUAAAUGAAAUAAAUGAAUAUAUAAAUGUAUAUGAAGAAAAAAAACUAUAUAAUACAUACAUAUGUAAAUUACAUACAUGUUUAAUAACAGAUCAUGAUAAAUACCUAAAACGAAAAAAAGAACAGUUUUGUAAUUUGGUUAGAGAAUAUAACAAUUUAAAAGAAGCAUAUGCUAAAUUGGAAAUGGAAAGACAAACAAAUGAUGAAAUUGCUAUAAAAAACAAAAAAAAAUUCUUCUUAAAUUUAAACAAAAUGCAUCAUAUAUUUUUUGAAUCUUUUACUAAUAACUCUAUAGGUCAUGAUAGUAUUUUUUUGAAAUCUCCUUUUUUGCUUAUGAAAGACAAACAUGAAAUUGAUUUUAUUAUGAAUAUAUAUGACGUGGUUAUACAAAAAAAUAGACAAGACACAAAUGAUAAACAAACGGAAACAAUUAUAACAGAAUCGGGACCUUAUAAUAAUAAUAAUAAUAAUAAUAAUAAUAAUAAUAAUAAAAACAGUACAGAAGAUAAAAAAAUAAAAAUGACAUUUUAUUAUACUUUAACAUAUCCAAAUAAAUCAGGAGGUAAUAUAGACACAAGACAAGUAUCAGUGAAUAUUCCGAUGUCAUGCUUAAGUCUAUUCAAUAAACUUUUUUUAGUAAGUUCUAAUGUAGAAAAAGAUAACAAAGUUGGUAUUGCUACUGGCGAUGGAAAUAGUAAAAGUAAACGUAGUGAUGAUGACGGAUGUGUUAGUACUACAGAUUAUGAACAUGAACAUGAACAUGAACAUGAACAUGAACAUGAUACUUAUAAAAAAGCAAAAGGUUUUAUUAAUCAAAGUAUGGAAGAAGAAAUAGAAGAUAUAGCCGAAUAUGACAUAUAUAUUAGAGAUUUAGUUAAAAGGGAUAUACAAACUGGAGUAGAAUCGGAAGUGGAGGAAGAAGCGAAAGUGGAGGAAGAAGCGAAAGUGGACGAAAAAGCGGAUGUACAUGUCCAACCACAUGAGCAAACAAAAACGAACAUGAGAAAUUCGAACGUAAGUCGAAAUCAUACUAAUGACAGUACAUACGAUAUUCAUAACGACAUAUCUACCUAUGCGGAUAUGUUAUGGAAAAAGCGAUGUGAGAAAAAAAAUGAGCUAACUCAAAUGAUAAAAAAUAUGGGUUGUUAUGAAACUGAGCUUACUGACAAUUCGAUAAAAACAUAUUUUAACAAACUAGUGGAAGAAUAUAUAACGGAAGAUACAUAUUAUCAAAACCAGUUAAAACAAAUAAACGAAUUAAAGUCAAAUUAUAAUAUGCAUUCAUGUAACAUAGAGCUAAGAAAGGUAAAAUUUGCUAACACUCUAAAAAAAACGAAAAAAAGUAUUAUAACAAAUUUUAGAAAUAUUUUACAAAGUAUGAAUAAUUAUAAAGGUAAAAUUGAAAUUGACGACUCAAAUAAAAGUUUUAAAGUUUUGGUUUCUUUAAAUAAUAAUAAUAUUUCAAAAAAAUCUUAUCUAAAUAUUAGUUCCUUAUCAGGAGGUGAAAAAUCUACCAUACAGAUGGCUUUGCUGGCUUCAUUUUCCUUAACGGAGUAUUCUGCUUUCCAUAUUUUCGACGAGCUGGACGUUUACAUGGACG